Non-coding RNA from Oryza sativa Japonica Group (Japanese rice), 633 nucleotides. The record is from RefSeq and is a predicted model, not a curated record. Lineage: Eukaryota; Viridiplantae; Streptophyta; Magnoliopsida; Poales; Poaceae.
CUGAUAGGUUCACCGAUGGCUGUGAUGAUUCUGAUGCUGAUGGUGUGGGGCAGAUGCAAAGGGACAUGGCGUUGGAGCGCCAUUGGGAGAACGGAGGCAGGUUGGUGAUCCAACCCCAUACAUCAAGAGAUGGAAGAGAUGAUGGUUCCUCAGAUAAAAUUUUGGCUCAUCCAUGACUGAGUCUAAUGAAGCACGGCAUAAUUUUUGGUAAAGCGGAUUCUUGGUUGUUAGAAGAGGAAAUCAAGUCAUUGAGCUGAGGAAUCUUUGUUGUUAAUUGGAGUUUGAAGAAUCUUCAUUUGUGCUUUGCACAGGUGCUAAAGCCAAAAGUUAACUGCUAUACGGUAAUAUGAUAUAUCAAACCCAAGUUGGUUGGCUAAUGUUGUAGUGAAGAGAAUAUAACGUGGCUCUAAACAGGAAAGCUGGAAAGAACGAUAUGGUUGGGUGGAAUGGAUUAGUUUGGAUGGAUUCUGGAUAACUCGGUUCAAUAAGGGCCUAACGACACCAAAUUUGUGACUUGAAGGUUAGCUUGUGUGUCGACUGGGAAUUGGAACCUGAUGCAUCUCACUCUUUGCUUCCGUUCCGUCAAGCUUCAAGAUUUACCUCUCAAUCGAGUAUUGCUUUAUACUUGUCUCA